This 460-nucleotide ribosomal RNA is filed under the name uncultured bacterium. RNAcentral's name for it is "partial 16S ribosomal RNA". It matches the Rfam family "Bacterial small subunit ribosomal RNA", at positions 338 to 795 of the family's 1533-position model. The record is from RNAcentral.
CCUACGGGCGGCAGCAGUGAGGAAUAUUGGUCAAUGGCCGGAAGGCUGAACCAGCCAUGCCGCGUGAAGGUCAGUGCCCUAUGGGCGUUAAACUUCUUUUGUGCGGGAGCAAUAAUGGUCACGUGUGGCCAGACGAGAGUACCGUACGAAUAAGCAUCGGCUAACUCCGUGCCAGCAGCCGCGGUAAUACGGGGGAUGCAAGCGUUUUCCCGAUUUAUUGGGUUUAAAGGGUGCGUAGGCUGUGAGGUAAGGCAGCGGGGAAAUGCCCCCGCUCAACGGGGUCAAGUGCCAUUGAUACUGCCUUGCUGGAAUGCGGAUGCCGUGGGAGGAAUGUGUGGUGUAGCGGUGAAAUGCAUAGAUAUCACACAGAACACCGAUUGCGAAGGCAUCUCACGAAUCCGCGAUUGACGCUGAUGCACGAAAGCGUGGGUAUCAAACAGGAUUAGAUACCCGGGUAGUC